Long non-coding RNA from Gavialis gangeticus (Gharial), 180 nucleotides. RefSeq lists it as uncharacterized. The record is from RefSeq and is a predicted model, not a curated record. Lineage: Eukaryota; Metazoa; Chordata; Crocodylia; Gavialidae. The transcript has 3 exons.
ACCAAUGUCCACAUCACUGAUGAAGAUGUUAAACAGUAUAGGCCCUAGGACAGAGCCUUGAGGGACCCCGCUGGUGACUGCACACCAAGACGAUUAGCUCCCAUCAACCACCACCCUCUGGGUCCUACCAUGGAGCUAAUUCCCCAGCCAAUGGAUCGUGGUGAGGUCAAGGCCACAGUU